AAACUGGGUCUAAUACCGGAUAUGACUCCUCAUCGCAUGGUGGGGGGUGGAAAGCUUUUUGUGGUUUUGGAUGGACUCGCGGCCUAUCAGCUUGUUGGUGAGGUAAUGGCUCACCAAGGCGACGACGGGUAGCCGGCCUGAGAGGGUGACCGGCCACACUGGGACUGAGACACGGCCCAGACUCCUACGGGAGGCAGCAGUGGGGAAUAUUGCACAAUGGGCGAAAGCCUGAUGCAGCGACGCCGCGUGAGGGAUGACGGCCUUCGGGUUGUAAACCUCUUUCAGUAGGGAAGAAGCGAAAGUGACGGUACCUGCAGAAGAAGCGCCGGCUAACUACGUGCCAGCAGCCGCGGUAAUACGUAGGGCGCAAGCGUUAUCCGGAAUUAUUGGGCGUAAAGAGCUCGUAGGCGGUUUGUCGCGUCUGCUGUGAAAGACCGGGGCUCAACCCCGGUUCUGCAGUGGGUACGGGCAGACUAGAGUGAUGUAGGGGAGACUGGAAUUCCUGGUGUAGCGGUGAAAUGCGCAGAUAUCAGGAGGAACACCGAUGGCGAAGGCAGGUCUCUGGGCAUUAACUGACGCUGAGGAGCGAAAGCAUGGGGAGCGAACAGGAUUAGAUACCCUGGUAGUCCAUGCCGUAAACGUUGGGCACUAGGUGUGGGGGACAUUCCACGUUUUCC
RNAcentral lists this ribosomal RNA (677 nucleotides) under Arthrobacter sp. EGI80112. Its description in RNAcentral is "bacterial SSU rRNA". It matches the Rfam family "Bacterial small subunit ribosomal RNA", at positions 154 to 842 of the family's 1533-position model. The record is from RNAcentral. Lineage: Bacteria; Bacillati; Actinomycetota; Actinomycetes; Micrococcales; Micrococcaceae.